GGCCUUAUAUUCAAAUUUGAUUCUAGACUGCAAUUCUAGAGGUGUAAAAGACCUUUACUAAGGCCU
Molecule: transfer RNA, 66 nt
Filed under: Leptacris sp. OR304
Lineage: Eukaryota; Metazoa; Arthropoda; Insecta; Orthoptera; Acrididae
Description: tRNA-Cys
Source: RNAcentral